CCGGGGUUUCUUUACCAGGUACUGUCAUUAUCAUCCCUGGCGAAAGAGCUUUACGACCCUAGGGCCUUCAUCACUCACGCGGCAUGGCUAGAUCAGGCUUGCGCCCAUUGUCUAAGAUUCCCCA
RNAcentral lists this ribosomal RNA (124 nucleotides) under uncultured bacterium. Its description in RNAcentral is "partial 16S ribosomal RNA". The record is from RNAcentral.